UGCCAGCCGCCGCGGUAAUACGAAGGGUGCUAGCGUUGUUCGGAAUUAUUGGGCGUAAAGCGCGUGGUAGGCGGUUCGUUAAGUCUGAUGUGAAAGCCCGGGGCUCAACCCCGGAAGUGCAUUGGAAACUGGCGAACUUGAGUACGGGAGAGGAAAGUGGAAUUCCGAGUGUAGGGGUGAAAUCCGUAGAUCUCUGGAGGAACACCAAACGCGAAGGCAUUCUGCUGGUCAUUACCUGACGCUGAGGGACGAAAGCGUGGGGAGCGAACGGGAUUAGAUA
RNAcentral lists this ribosomal RNA (280 nucleotides) under uncultured bacterium. RNAcentral's name for it is "partial 16S ribosomal RNA". It matches the Rfam family "Bacterial small subunit ribosomal RNA", at positions 506 to 784 of the family's 1533-position model. The record is from RNAcentral.